UACGUAGGGGGCAAGCGUUAUCCGGAUUUACUGGGUGUAAAGGGAGCGUAGGUGGAUUGUUAAGUCAGUUGUGAAAGUUUGCGGCUCAACCGUAAAAUUGCAGUUGAAACUGGCAGUCUUGAGUACAGUAGAGGUGGGCGGAAUUCGUGGUGUAGCGGUGAAAUGCUUAGAUAUCACACAGAACACCGAUUGCGAAGGCAUCUCACGAAUCCGCGAUUGACGCUGAUGCACGAAAGCGUGGGUAUCAAACAGG
This 253-nucleotide ribosomal RNA is filed under the name uncultured Bacteroides sp. Its description in RNAcentral is "partial 16S ribosomal RNA". It matches the Rfam family "Bacterial small subunit ribosomal RNA", at positions 524 to 776 of the family's 1533-position model. The record is from RNAcentral. Lineage: Bacteria; Pseudomonadati; Bacteroidota; Bacteroidia; Bacteroidales; Bacteroidaceae.